RNAcentral lists this transfer RNA (77 nucleotides) under endosymbiont 'TC1' of Trimyema compressum. RNAcentral's name for it is "tRNA-Met". It matches the Rfam family "tRNA". Rfam says of the family: Transfer RNA (tRNA) molecules are approximately 80 nucleotides in length. Their secondary structure includes four short double-helical elements and three loops (D, anti-codon, and T loops). The record is from RNAcentral. Lineage: Bacteria; Bacillati; Bacillota.
GGCGAUGUAGCUCAGGCGGUUAGAGUAUACGGCUCAUACCCGUAGUGUCGCAGGUUCGAGUCCUGCCAUCGCUACCA